Lontra canadensis (Northern American river otter) is the source of this 755-nucleotide long non-coding RNA. RefSeq lists it as uncharacterized. NCBI's taxonomy places the organism in Eukaryota, Metazoa, Chordata, Mammalia, Carnivora, Mustelidae. The transcript is spliced from 3 exons. The record is from RefSeq and is a predicted model, not a curated record.
CCUUAGCCUGCGGGUCCCUGCCCAGAAGGAAAGGGGAGUCGGUGGCUUGCGGCUUCUGGAGGAAGGUUCGGAAUCACCACCAGAGGGAAGGGAAGAAGGAGCAGACCAGAGAAGCAGGACCGGGACGAGUGGGGGCCCUGCUAUGCUUGGAAACAGUGAGCUGCUGCUCCAAGAAUGAAGACCAGAGAAUGAAGUAAAGGUAGGGCCAGUCUUCGGGGCCCUGCCCAUGCACCCACUUAGAGGAGGCUCUAGGCCAAGGGGCUGUUGGCUCCUCUGGUCCAAACACAGCUGGCCUUUUCUACUUCUAUCUGCAACAGCAGAAUCCUGCCCGACCUCUUGCCACUAGGCCCCUCCUGCACGACUGGCGCCCUGGUUUGUCUUCUGCGUCCUGGUUUGGCCUCCACUGCUGUCCCUGUUCCAGGUGGGCCAGGAAGCAUUCCUCCUGCUGUGGGGAGGGCUGAAGGCAGUGCUGAGCCCCUGGAGAGGGCCGUCCCUGCCCCUAGCACAGCAGUGCCUGCAGAUUCUGAUAAAGCAGGCUGACUCCACCAGGCCCUGCUGGCUCCCACCCACUGCGAUAAGCCCACCAGGGGCCCACCUGCCAGCCCAGCACGGACCCAUGUCCUGGCUUGUGCACAAGGGACACAGCUCCCAGGGGGUGCCCAACUAUUACCACUACGGGCUCCAGAUGUGUGACCCUCCACCUCCAGCUGGACCUAGGACAUACCAGUUGCUGAUGGCUUUAGAGCCCCAGCAGG